GCAGACCCCCCGUGUGGCGCUCACCCUGCGAACCUCCCCAGGGCCGGAAGGCAGCAAGGAUAAGCAGGCUCUGGCGGGUGCGCGGGGGGUCCUCGCGU
This 98-nucleotide signal recognition particle RNA is filed under the name Jatrophihabitans endophyticus. RNAcentral's name for it is "Bacterial small signal recognition particle RNA". It matches the Rfam family "Bacterial small signal recognition particle RNA". Rfam says of the family: The signal recognition particle (SRP) is a universally conserved ribonucleoprotein involved in the co-translational targeting of proteins to membranes. Archaeal SRP consists of a 7S RNA and homologues of the eukaryotic SRP19 and SRP54 proteins. The record is from RNAcentral. Lineage: Bacteria; Bacillati; Actinomycetota; Actinomycetes; Jatrophihabitantales; Jatrophihabitantaceae.